RNAcentral lists this transfer RNA (74 nucleotides) under Saprospirales bacterium. RNAcentral's name for it is "tRNA-His". It matches the Rfam family "tRNA". From Rfam's summary of the family: Transfer RNA (tRNA) molecules are approximately 80 nucleotides in length. Their secondary structure includes four short double-helical elements and three loops (D, anti-codon, and T loops). Lineage: Bacteria; Pseudomonadati; Bacteroidota; Saprospiria; Saprospirales. The record is from RNAcentral.
GUGGUUGUAGCUCAGCUGGUUAGAGCACCGGAUUGUGGUUCCGGGGGUCGUGGGUUCAAAUCCCAUCAUCCACC